Molecule: non-coding RNA, 45 nt
Filed under: Schistosoma margrebowiei
Lineage: Eukaryota; Metazoa; Platyhelminthes; Trematoda; Strigeidida; Schistosomatidae
Source: RNAcentral
AUCCGUCUGAUGAGUGCAAAUUAGGACGAAACGUGCGUCUUGAAU